Molecule: long non-coding RNA, 1742 nt
Organism: Betta splendens (Siamese fighting fish)
Lineage: Eukaryota; Metazoa; Chordata; Actinopteri; Anabantiformes; Osphronemidae
Exons: 2
Source: RefSeq, a predicted model, not a curated record
UGUAGGUUGGGGAAACUGCACAUUGUAUUUAUUUCUUUAGUGUGGUCCUGUAAGACUGCCUUUCUGGUCUUAAGCUUUCUAUUGUGCUAUAUAAACUACAACCUUUGACUGUUGUACUCUACAGAUUGUUUUCGAAAAGAAGUAUGAGACUUUGCUAUGUGAAUAUUUUAGUGCAUCAGGAGCAAAUGUUAGGUUUGCAUUAAAUUAAAAAGUAGAAUAGAAUAAUAGUGUCAAUAAAUUUACAAGGGCUCACGUAAUUUAUUUCCUACAUGCAUUUAGUUUUUUUUUUUUUCAAAUUAAAGGUCUUUCUAAAAGGUUGUCAGCUCACACUAACCAAAGCACAACAAAAACAUUCUGCAAAGGAUCAAAUGAGUGAUGUAACCCAACAAUAAAGACAUUAGCCGCCCUUUUUCUUGCUGCCCUACUUUAGUCAGAUAGUACUGAGGGAGACUUGAGCUAGCACUGCAGUAAUUCAAUCUCUUAUCCACAUAUAAGGAGGGGGAAAUGAAACACUUUGAACUCUGUGGGAACAGCAAACAGAUGCUAAUGAACAUGAUGUUCUAGUACAGGCCUCUGGCAACAGGAUUAAAACAAUUUCAAAAGAGGUAAGGAAGGAACAUAUCCACAUGAGUAAGGAGAAACACUGCAAAUAGGGUACCGAUGAUGAUUCAUACUGAACCUUGUUAGAAUUACAGAGAAAAUGAUUUUCCUUAAUAAACGUUUUCAGAGUGACGAGGGGAGUGGAGCUUUUUUAAAAGUACAGCAAUCUAAUUCAAUUCCAUUCCAUAAUUUGAGUUUCAGUAAAUAUGGCAGUGUUCCUGAAAGCAAUUCAACUGUUAAGACAAAGGUUAGUUUUAAUUUAGAGUGUAUUCACUGAUUGACCUUAAAGGAGUCAUAUCAUGCUUUUCAUUCUAAAAAAUAUUAGACUUUAAUGUCUCAGUAAGGUCUCUGUAAAUUUUCAUCCCAUAAAACCCUUUAGAUCGUCCACACUGCCCCUGUCAAUGUGUGGUUUUCACUCUCCAUCAGCAAACGCUGUGUUUUCUGGGCGUGUCGCAAGCGAAGCUGCUCACCACACCUCUGUGCGGAAGUGCAUACCUUUUUUGUUGUUGUUGUUGUUUUUUUUUAAAUUGGCUCCAUGGAUACGAGCCACCGCACGGUUAGGAUACAAUAGGUGGCAGUAGUGCGACAUUGAGAAUGCAAUCCACCGCAAUCCUCCACAGAAGAAGAAGACCCACUACAGAACUGCACGACAUUAGUCAGCUGGUUCGUAGCGUAGUAGAACCAUACGUCUACGAUCCCGAAUCUGACCCUGAAGCUGAAGAGGAGGCUGUUGAAGUCACCACAUUUCGGCUGAUGCAAGAUGUGUCUCAUUGUUGUUACAGGUAUCUAGUCUACAGAGGCUAGUGAGCUGGUGCUGAGGAUUCCUGGGGUGAAGAAUCUGAGUUGCCAUCUCUUCAUGCUUGGGUUGUAGAUGAAGGCAGUUUCCUGAUGGAUAAAACACUAAAACACUCAUAGUAUGAUUGAUGUAGACCACCUGUAGAAUAACUCCUUUACCGUUUGAGUAAAAAUGUGUUUUUUGUGCGUGCAACACUCAUUAAGAAUUUUUUUAACUUUAUUUAUAUAUAAUUUAUAUGCGUUUUAUUUAUGGCCGCUUCAACUUUAUAGCUUACCAUAUUAGAAAGAGAAAAACAUGUAAUUUCAAUACUAUGAUUUCCUAAAUAAAAGUGUUUUCCCUUCAGAAA